RNAcentral lists this transfer RNA (84 nucleotides) under Erysiphe necator (grape powdery mildew). It matches the Rfam family "tRNA". Rfam says of the family: Transfer RNA (tRNA) molecules are approximately 80 nucleotides in length. Their secondary structure includes four short double-helical elements and three loops (D, anti-codon, and T loops). Lineage: Eukaryota; Fungi; Ascomycota; Leotiomycetes; Helotiales; Erysiphaceae. The record is from Rfam by way of RNAcentral.
GGGCUUGUGGUUUAGUGGUAUAAUACUCCCUUAGCAUGAUUGCUUGAAUGGGAGUGGUCCGGGGUUCGAUUCCCCGCAAGUCCA